AAAUAAUAUUAUUGGUAAAUUGUACUUAUGUGUUAUAUAAUAGAAUUCACAAAUAUCAAUUUAAUAUAUAUAUAUAUAUAUAUACAUUUUUGCAGUCAUUUUGUGAAAUAAAUCAUGAAGUUGGAAUUUAUUUAUAAUGGUUGCCAUUGGCUUUUAAUUAUUGUUUUUUUUUUGGCAAUAAAUUGAUUAACAAACGAAAAACAUUCCAAAUAUAUUUCAAUCCCAUAUAUCAUGCAGAUUUCUCCAAAAUUUGAACUAGAUUUUGACAACUAUUUAAAACAAAAAAUGUUUGACAAACCAAAAUACAAUUGCAAUUCCUUAAAAUGAGCAAAACGCACCUAAAUACAUUUUUUACAAUUCACUAAAUCUUAUUUCUCCAAAAUUUGAACUAGAUUUCGGCAACUAUUUUAAAAAAAAUUUGUUUGACAAACUAAAAUACAAUUGCAAUCCCGUAAAAUAUUUAUUUAAAUUAUAUAUUUAAAUUAGCGGUGUAAUGCAGGUUUUUUUACGGGACGGGUUUGGCAAGACGAAUUUGGAAUGACUUUACUUAAUAACAAUUGUAAACUAUAAAAUAAAAAUAUUUUAUAGAUAGAUAUAAUUUGUAAACUUUUAUAUAUAUUAAUUUUAAAAAAUAAAUUGUAUCCGCGGUAUACCGCGGGUUAAAAUCUAGUAUAUUACAAAACUAUAGUAAUGUUUUUAAAGAAAUGAGAAAAUAAAGUGAAAAGAAAAAGAGAAAAAAAGGGACAGACAUUCUAAAGACGAUAAAAUUAUGCUUUAGAAAAACAUGAACUUACAGACAAAAUAAUUAAAAAAAUAUUAUUUGGGCUGUGAGAAAAAAUAGAAAAGCUAAAACAUGAUUGUUUCAAUUUUAGGGCUUUAACUUUUUUAGGUGGUUUAAAAAUUUCUUACAGCCCAACCAAUCAUGGCCUAUGUAAUAUCAUUUGUAAACAGUAAACUUAUAACAGUAGUUCGCAAUUUGCAAAUAGACGCCUUCUAAGUUAUACUUU
Molecule: small RNA, 1007 nt
Filed under: Arabidopsis thaliana (thale cress)
Lineage: Eukaryota; Viridiplantae; Streptophyta; Magnoliopsida; Brassicales; Brassicaceae
Description: ATSL146740
Source: RNAcentral